This 2590-nucleotide long non-coding RNA is filed under the name Homo sapiens (human). RNAcentral describes it as "long intergenic non-protein coding RNA 630". The record is from RNAcentral. Lineage: Eukaryota; Metazoa; Chordata; Mammalia; Primates; Hominidae.
AGUGGAGGUUGUGAGUGCCCAGCAGUGUGGCCUGAAUCUCCGUGGGGUUUAGGGAGACGAAAGGACCCCAGAUCGACGUCCCCUCGUUCCCACUUUGGGGAUCGGCGCUCUGGCUGUUUCGUGAAGGAGAGAGAGGUUGAUUCCAUACCCUGGCUAUUGUGAAUAAUGCUGCAGUGAACAUGGGAGUACAUACAUCUGUUUGAGGAACUCAGAGUGGUUUUCCAGAUGGGAAUCACAUUGCUCUCUGUCCCUGAGAUCUUGCUGGAGACAGGGCUACUCAGUCCCUCUUUGCCAGAUUGAUACUGGAAAAGCAGUUUCUAUUGAGCCCCCAAAUGAAGAGUGAGUGCAGAUGAAGAGGAGGCAGGACUCACAAGCCCUUGAACUUUAUUCCAGAUCUGUUAGCACCUACAGGACCCUGCACCAGGAUUUCAUCUGUACUAUCAGCUUCUUCAAAGAGAGAGAGGUUGUUGAAUUGAUAUUGGAAAAGCAGUUUCCCAUUGAGUCUCAAAUGAAGAGAGUGCAGAUGAAGAGGAGGUAGGAGUCACAAGCCCUUGACCCUCAUGCUAGACCCAUUACCACCCACAGGACCUUGCAGUGGGAUUUCAUCUGCACCAUCAGCUUCUUCAGAGAGAGAGGUUGUUGACUCUUCAUGUGGAUGUCUGAGCUCAUAUCAGGUGUCUGAAAGAGGCAGAUUCUGAGGAUUUGGGUCAUGAUGGCUGCCAAAGCUUCUACUCCUGACUUAAAGGGCAACAAUCCUAGGAGACCACCAGCACUUACAUCCCUGGUAGGACAUGACACCUGCUUAUGGCUCAGAAGUGACAAAAGAGAAUUAUCAGGAUGGCAGUCCUUAUAACCAGAUGCUUAUCAACAUUCUUCACUACAUUCUGAAGAUGAAUUUCUACAAGGGAAAUUGUUUAUGUAAGUGGUGUGUACCCUUUGAUAUGUAUUGACAUAGUGGCACACAUAGAGUUGUGCCAUUUAAACUCCCCAAGGGGAGGCAUGUGAGGUCGGCCACAGAGGACUGAAGAAAUUAGUUAAUGCUGACAUCCUAUCACAUAGGGUGGGUCCUGGACUCCGUCAUGGACCUGCUGUCAUGCCAUUGCCACAAUUGGAAGACGUGGAAGUGAUCAGAUGCAAUCAAAUUUUGUACACAAGCACAUCCUGAUGUAGCGAUGAGGGAAAGGGGGAAGAGGAAUGAUCAUUGCUUGGACUUACAGGACAGAGGCAGAAGGGCUAGGACACAGGCACUCUUUAUACGCAUUCUUUUUUUUUUUUUUUUUUUGAGACGGAGUAUCGCCUGUUGCCAGGCUGGAAUGCAAUGGUGUGAUCUCAGCUCACUGCAACCUCCGCCUCCUGGGUUCAAGCGAUUCUCCUGCCUCAGCCUCCUGAGUAGCUAGGACUGUAGGCACGCACCACCACGCCCAGCUAAUUUUUUGUAUUUUUAGUAUAGUCGAGGUUUCACCAUGUUGGCCAGGAUGGUCUCCAUCUCUUGAGCUCGUAAUCCGCCUGCCUCGGCCUUCUACAGUGCUGGGAUUACAGGCGUCAGCCACCACACCCGGCCCUAUAUGCAUUCAUUUUUAUGUAAAACAUAUGCAUCAAUUCUUUUGUAUGAAAACGUUUGGUCAUUACUGUGGUACAACAGAAGACCAGGUCAGUACCAUAUUUUUUUUUCAUAUGUACACGGAUUUUUAUUUUGUUUUAGACAUUGUCUUACACACAAUAGACAUUCAGUAUUUGUUGAAAUUAAUGAAAGAAAAGAGAAACAUGAAAACGGUCUGAGAAGACAAUAAUCUGCUUUUUAAUUUAUAGACAGCAAUUAGGUCAAACAAUUAUAGCAAUGAUGACAAAGAACAAUAUCUGAGGUACACUCAAAACCUUAUGAGGGUUAUUUGCCAGUUUUCCUGGCUAUUUCUACACCCUUUGAUCUCUAGUGAAUGUUUCUACUUACAACUACAUAUUUUGUAAGUUUUGCCUACUGUAUUUCAAUCAACACUGUAAAAAAUGAAGAGAGUCUUUUUGGUUCAAAUUUGGUUUUUAGUUAAUUAUGUGAUGUGUAUAUGAUUUUUUGUUACCUUUUCUGUAUAGAUAUCAGGAGAAUCGAAAAUAUGUUGAUGGUGGAAUUGUGGUAUGACAUUUUUACUGACUACUACUCUGCAAAAGUUUUAUCUAUGAGCUCUAUGGGUUGUUCCUGGCUUUUGAAAAUUUACUUUAAGGAAGUGUUUUUGGAAAUGGAUUAUAAGUAUACAAGUAUGCAAUCUUAUGUAUUUGCAACUGUCUAAGAUGUUAUGAUACUUUCCUCCCUGCAAUCUGGCAUUCAUCCAUUCAAGACAUUUUAAUUGAACUCUUACAAUGUUCUUAAUACUAUGAUAAGCCCUGAAGGUAAACUGUGACUAAAAAUGUUGCAGGAUAAAAUACAGGAUUCCUAGUUAAAUUUGAAUUUUAGAUAAACAACAUUCUUAUACUAAAAAUUAUUCCAUGUUUAUCUGAAAUUCAAAUUUAGCUGAGUGUCCUGUAACUUUUUAUUUUAUUUGUUUACUUGUUUGUCUGUGAUAAAUAUGGCAGCCCUAGUAAAAAUAAAUAUAGCCCCUGA